Molecule: ribosomal RNA, 488 nt
Filed under: uncultured bacterium
Lineage: Bacteria
Description: partial 16S ribosomal RNA
Rfam family: Bacterial small subunit ribosomal RNA
Source: RNAcentral
AUUGAACGCUGGCGGCAGGCCUAACACAUGCAAGUCGAACGGUAGCACAGAGAGCUUGCUCUCGGGUGACGAGUGGCGGACGGGUGAGUAAUGUCUGGGAAACUGCCCGAUGGAGGGGGAUAACUACUGGAAACGGUAGCUAAUACCGCAUAAUGUCGCAAGACCAAAGAGGGGGACCUUCGGGCCUCUUGCCAUCGGAUGUGCCCAGAUGGGAUUAGCUAGUUGGUGAGGUAAUGGCUCACCAAGGCGACGAUCCCUAGCUGGUCUGAGAGGAUGGCCAGCCACACUGGAACUGAGACACGGUCCAGACUCCUACGGGAGGCAGCAGUGGGGAAUAUUGCACAAUGGGCGAAAGCCUGAUGCAGCCAUGCCGCGUGUAUGAAGAAGGCCUUCGGGUUGUAAAGUACUUUCAGCGGGGAGGAAGGCGAUACGGUUAAUAACCGUAUUGAUUGACGUUACCCGCAGAAGAAGCACCGGCUAACUCCGUG